This is a long non-coding RNA of Oncorhynchus kisutch (coho salmon), 1245 nucleotides long. RefSeq lists it as uncharacterized. NCBI's taxonomy places the organism in Eukaryota, Metazoa, Chordata, Actinopteri, Salmoniformes, Salmonidae. The transcript has 3 exons. The record is from RefSeq and is a predicted model, not a curated record.
CCAUCAGCCAGUUAGCUGGGUGCUUGACUGCCGUUGUGAGGUCAGAACGCUCGGAUCAACCCUACUCCUCCGUCAGAGCGUCCAAUGUGGCUCUGAACGCUCCCAGAGCGAAACGCUCUGAAUUUACGAACGCCAACAGCGCAAUUUACGAACACACCACCUAGGUUCCUUGCGGAUCAACGUCAUACUCCCCCAUCAGCUCUGGGACGCAAAAUAGUGUCAUGUCUUGAGACAUUUUAUUUUGGAAUGUUGACCAUUUCAAAUUCGCGGAUCAUUCUUCAGUCAGCUGACAGAUGAUGCAAGACUCACAAACGACCUGGAGGAUUUACAAACUGUUACAAAAGUAUUUUAAUAUGUAAUGUAUGCUUAGCCCAAACAAUAUUUAGUCCAUAUGAAGAAAUAUGUUAAUGACAUCUUGUUUUAUAUUAUGCAGACUCUGGUUAGCUAUCUAGUAGCUAACAACUGUCAUUAGCUAGCGUAACAAUUAUAGUAAAAAAAUAAUGUAGCUAGCUAGUUAUAUCUCUGAAAGGCAUGUUGUUACUUUUUUUUCAGUUCCCCAUUAAGUCCAUGCGGGAUCAGAAAAAGGAGAAGGGAUCAUGUCAAAUGUCUCAACCUCGGUGAUAGCUCAGCCAUCACCAUCUGAUUAUAUACAGAUGUUUCAAGACAUGUUGAGUCAAAGCUGAUCUACUCUAACAGCUGACUGCAGUUAUUGUCUUUUCUGUGCAGUUUUAUUUCAUAGAGAAUACAUCUAAAUGUUACAUGAAAAAAUGCCCAAAUAGCUGGUGGAUUAGAUUUUUUUGUUUUGUUGAUCAACCUCACAUGCUGCAGAGUAGACUGGAUUUAUCUGAGUGCUAACCUCUAUUCAUGGGUAUGCUGAUGAGGUAAAUUAUGAAUGGAUGCUUGUAUCUGCUUUUUGUUUUUUACACAUGCUUUAAUAGUUGUGUAAUGAACAUGGCCUAUUUCUCCUUUGUCAGGAUAUAAGGAUGGAAUACAUGUCAACAACUCUGACUCAAUCAAGACUGGACAUAGAAUACAACUAGGGUCCUAUCUGGUGUCAAACAUUAAGCCCUCAUGGAUGGUAGGGCUUUCUGCUUCAGAUUAAGCAAUAGAAGCUCUGAGAUCCCCAAACAAGAGAUGACAAUCUGUCUGUAAAGACUUGAAGAUCGUUUGGAGCCCUAUAACACAUUUACCAAGUUAUUGUUGCUUCUGCCUCUGUUAUUUGUCAAUAAAUCUAGAUUACUUUGA